Molecule: small RNA, 125 nt
Filed under: Marmota monax (woodchuck)
Lineage: Eukaryota; Metazoa; Chordata; Mammalia; Rodentia; Sciuridae
Source: RNAcentral
GCCAGGUGUGGUGGUGCUCACCUGUAAUCCCUGCAGCUCUUGAGGCUGAGUCAGGAGGAUUUUGAGUUCAAAGUCAGCCUCAGCAGUGGUGAAGCGCUAAGCAACUCAGUGAGACCCUGUCUCUA